RNAcentral lists this unclassified non-coding RNA (377 nucleotides) under plant metagenome. RNAcentral's name for it is "partial contains 5.8S ribosomal RNA, internal transcribed spacer 2, and large subunit ribosomal RNA". The stretch from base 1 to 104 matches the Rfam family "5.8S ribosomal RNA", at positions 51 to 154 of the family's 154-position model. The record is from RNAcentral.
AAAUUCUCUAAUUAAUUUUAAUUUCAUAAUUCAUUUAAUCAUCUAAUCUUUUAACUCACCUUGCGCUCCUUGGUAUUCCUUGGAGCAUGCCUGUUUGAGUAUCAUGAAAUCUUCAAAGUAAAUCUUUUGUUAACUCAAUUGGUUUCUACUUUGGUAUUGGAGGUCUUUGCAGCUUCACACCUGCUCCUCUUUGUUCAUUAGCUGGAUCUCAGUGUUAUGCUUGGUUCCACUCGGCGUGAUAAGUUAUCUAUCGCUGAGGACACUGUAAAAGGUGGCCAAGGUAAAUGCAGAUGAACCGCUUCUAAUAGUCCAUUGACUUGGACAAUACUUUUAUGAUCUGAUCUCAAAUCAGGUAGGACUACCCGCUGAACUUAAGC